Molecule: long non-coding RNA, 2763 nt
Filed under: Panax ginseng (ginseng)
Lineage: Eukaryota; Viridiplantae; Streptophyta; Magnoliopsida; Apiales; Araliaceae
Description: long non-coding RNA (PGIN_LNC015942)
Source: RNAcentral
UCCUAACUUCUUCAUCUUAACUCGGUUAUUUUUCUGUCCUGCAUGAUUUCAGAAUUCGGUUAUAACUUCACGAUAAAUUUUUCAAUUGACUGACACGCAAUGCGUCUCGACACUAUAUUGAUCAAUUGAACAAAAUAAUCACUCCCAUGAUUUCAUAUGCAAUUUUUUGUCAGGCAAGUUCCUCUAUCUUCUCAUAGUAUGCUUUAAUUUCAGUUGUUUUAUGUAAAAUUUUAGAGAUUUUGUUUUGUAAACGAAAAGUAAUUAAGCAACUUCAAUUCAUGCACAGAAGUGGAGAUUUUUACAAGCAUACAAGUUCUUUCCCUUACUAUAUAUGUAAGCUACAGAUUUUAUUAUUGUUGCAGGCUGUUACCGAUGAUGAUAUAUAUAUAUAUAUAUAUAUAUAUAUAUAUAUAUAUAUAUAUAUAUAUAUAUAUAUAUAUAACAAGGAUCAGGUCCGGGAGUCUGGACCUAAUCGAGAGUCCGGAUCUGAUAAAAAAUGGACCAAAUUUUUUAUUUUUUUUGCUUUUAAAUUUAAAACUAAAAAAAAUAUUUAAUAUUUUAUGAAACUGAAAUUUUUUUCAUAAUACAAUGUUUUGGGCGUGAUUUGGAUACCUAUACCAAAAAAUAUAUGUACAGUCUGCACAGACUGUACAUACAUGUUUUGUUAUAUGUAUCCAAAUCACACCCAAAACACUGUAUUAUGUAAAAAUUCAAGUUCCAUAAUUUUUUAUUUAAUUAUUUUUAGUUGUUUUAAAAAAAAAGCAAAAAAAUAAAUAAAUCCGGAUUUUAGUCUGUUCCGGGAGUUCGGACCUGAUCCGGCCUCUCUAUAUAUAUAUAUNNNNNNNNNNNNNNNNNNNNNNNNNNNNNNNNNNNNNNNNNNNNNNNNNNNNNNNNNNNNNNNNNNNNNNNNNNNNNNNNNNNNNNNNNNNNNNNNNNNNUAUGGAAUCUGGUAAGUUGAUGAUUCAUGAUAGUAAUCUUUUGAGUUGAUAACUUGAUAUGUAUAUCAUAUACUUGCCAGUUCGCUAUAGCGACUAUAGAACAGAAAGUCGUCAUAGCAUAUAUAUAUAUAACACUAUCAGGGAGAUAUCUUGUUUUCUAUGAAUAUUAACUGUAGGCCUUUUUUACACAAGGAAAAGAAAAAGGAGUGGUAGCAAUACAAUGAUAAUAUAUGUAGAUGCAAGAGAUGCUAGUUAUUCCCUCUAUUCUGCCUUAAAUAUUUGACUGUUUUGACUCCUUCCACACCUAAGUUUUUAAAGAAAAUAUUCUCGACUGACACUGAGCUGGCUGCAUCUCUCCUAUAUACUCUUUUGUUAGACAUUCAUAGAAAUUGGUAUUACAAGCGGUUACACGGGUCAUAAUAAACCCCCUGCGAAAAAGAAUAGAUACAGAUGGUUAGAAAACAGCUCCUAUUCGAUGAGUUUUCGGUAGAAAAGGAUAAAGGGUCUAGUACUUACUCAAACAUAAUGAUUGCUUUGUCAAUAGAAGCUUAUGUCAGGACCGCUUCCACUUUAACUGGUUUUAAACUUCUUAUAGCUCUCCGUAUAUGCUCAAAUGCCAAGACAAGGAGGCCAAAGAGGUACAGAAGGAAAAUAUAUAGCUUUUCGACAAUGCCAAAUAUCAAAUUUGUAUUGCUUCCUCCCUCGGGAUUUCUUUUGUAUAAUGAUAUUCUUGUCACUAUCCACCCUACAAAGGAUGAGAGUUUAUUAUAAGCACAUGAUGGGAUUUGUUAAAGAUGAUCUUGAAAACUAAUACAAAAGCCAGUACAAAAGAUGAUGUUUAGAGGAUCUCUUGUUCCAAGUCACUGUAGUUCUCAUCUGGUCUGUUUAAACUUUCACCAUUCUGCUUCUGUUAUCAGAAUCACGAGUUUUAUGAAACAAGGGUUCCUUAAAUCAAAUGCCAUCAACAAGAACAAUACCUAGUAAAUCUCAUUACACGUCCGUUGGUAUGAGGGUAAGGUACGGUAGGGUUUUAUGGUCCACAAGACCAUUCCAUGUUUACUAGUGAGACCAACUGAGCUUUUCAAGUGAAAAACUCACAAAGGGAGAGAACAUGAGCUCAGGCAACUUCAUGCCAUAGCCUUUAGGAAAUCAGGGUUUUAGUAGGUGAUAUUGGUGGACCCACCUACUAACAUAUGAACAUUCUAAAAAGGAACCAAUGCGGAAAAAACACGUUCAUAUUCAGUUUGUGAUUCUUACCUGGGCUGGGCUGGGGCAAAUUAGUCCAUUCGAGUGGGUCUAUCUCACUUUCUGAUGCCCUGAUCAACUCAAGAAGAGCUUCAUUGACCUGAGCAAUAAAAAGUUAAUUCUACUGCAAAUUUGGAUUUUUAAAAUAAGUUCUAUGACAAUCUUUCUAUUACGAAAGAAAAAAAAAUCAAUAACUAUUUGUCUUAUUGCUGAAUGACGCAUAUUUUUUCUUCUUUUUUAGUAAAUCCUCAAGAAUCCCAUCUACUGAUACCCGAUCUUUAUACUCACAUAAUUCUAGAAUACAAGGUUCCAACAAUGCCAAUAAAUGUAUAGCUACUUGUAUAAAUUAAUCACAAACAGCGUAUUUACCUCUGCAGUCCUCUCAUGACUCACAAGAUGCCCACCAUGAAGUUCUACCAUUCUAGCAAAAGGGUACAGUCUCUCUGCAAGUCUCCUUGCAUGGCGUAACUGAGCAAUAACAUCAUCCCUAGACGUCCAAAAGACUCGUCUCAGUUAUCUAAGCAGAUAUGGUUAGGUGAAAAGAAUGAAUACUAAGUCUUUGAGAUUAGAAUUAUACCUG